CCCGUACACAAAAAUGCACAUAUUGUGAGCUCGAUGAGUAGGGCGGGACACGUGGUAUCCUGUCUGAAUAUGGGGGGACCAUCCUCCAAGGCUAAAUACUCCUGACUGACCGAUAGUGAACCAGUACCGUGAGGGAAAGGCGAAAAGAACCCCGGCGAGGGGAGUGAAAAAGAACCUGAAACCGUGUACGUACAAGCAGUGGGAGCCUCUUAAUGGGGUGACUGCGUACCUUUUGUAUAAUGGGUCAGCGACUUAUAUUCUGUAGCAAGGUUAACCGAAUAGGGGAGCCGAAGGGAAACCGAGUCUUAACUGGGCGUUAAGUUGCAGGGUAUAGACCCGAAACCCGGUGAUCUAGCCAUGGGCAGGUUGAAGGUUGGGUAACACUAACUGGAGGACCGAACCGACUAAUGUUGAAAAAUUAGCGGAUGACUUGUGGCUGGGGGUGAAAGGCCAAUCAAACCGGGAGAUAGCUGGUUCUCCCCGAAAGCUAUUUAGGUAGCGCCUCGUGAAUUCAUCUCCGGGGGUAGAGCACUGUUUCGGCAAGGGGGUCAUCCCGACUUACCAACCCGAUGCAAACUGCGAAUACCGGAGAAUGUUAUCACGGGAGACACACGGCGGGUGCUAACGUCCGUCGUGAAGAGGGAAACAACCCAGACCGCCAGCUAAGGUCCCAAAGUCAUGGUUAAGUGGGAAACGAUGUGGGAAGGCCCAGACAGCCAGGAUGUUGGCUUAGAAGCAGCCAUCAUUUAAAGAAAGCGUAAUAGCUCACUGGUCGAGUCGGCCUGCGCGGAAGAUGUAACGGGGCUAAACCAUGCACCGAAGCUGCGGCAGCGACACUAUGUGUUGUUGGGUAGGGGAGCGUUCUGUAAGCCUGUGAAGGUGUACUGUGAGGUAUGCUGGAGGUAUCAGAAGUGCGAAUGCUGACAUAAGUAACGAUAAAGCGGGUGAAAAGCCCGCUCGCCGGAAGACCAAGGGUUCCUGUCCAACGUUAAUCGGGGCAGGGUGAGUCGACCCCUAAGGCGAGGCCGAAAGGCGUAGUCGAUGGGAAACAGGUUAAUAUUCCUGUACUUGGUGUUACUGCGAAGGGGGGACGGAGAAGGCUAUGUUGGCCGGGCGACGGUUGUCCCGGUUUAAGCGUGUAGGCUGGUUUUCCAGGCAAAUCCGGAAAAUCAAGGCUGAGGCGUGAUGACGAGGCACUACGGUGCUGAAGCGACAAAUGCCCUGCUUCCAGGAAAAGCCUCUAAGCAUCAGGUAACAUCAAAUCGUACCCCAAACCGACACAGGUGGUCAGGUAGAGAAUACCAAGGCGCUUGAGAGAACUCGGGUGAAGGAACUAGGCAAAAUGGUGCCGUAACUUCGGGAGAAGGCACGCUGAUAUGUAGGUGAAGCGACUUGCUCGUGGAGCUGAAAUCAGUCGAAGAUACCAGCUGGCUGCAACUGUUUAUUAAAAACACAGCACUGUGCAAACACGAAAGUGGACGUAUACGGUGUGACGCCUGCCCGGUGCCGGAAGGUUAAUUGAUGGGGUUAGCGGUAACGCGAAGCUCUUGAUCGAAGCCCCGGUAAACGGCGGCCGUAACUAUAACGGUCCUAAGGUAGCGAAAUUCCUUGUCGGGUAAGUUCCGACCUGCACGAAUGGCGUAAUGAUGGCCAGGCUGUCUCCACCCGAGACUCAGUGAAAUUGAACUCGCUGUGAAGAUGCAGUGUACCCGCGGCAAGACGGAAAGACCCCGUGAACCUUUACUAUAGCUUGACACUGAACAUUGAGCCUUGAUGUGUAGGAUAGGUGGGAGGCUUUGAAGUGUGGACGCCAGUCUGCAUGGAGCCGACCUUGAAAUACCACCCUUUAAUGUUUGAUGUUCUAACGUGGGCCCCUUACCGGGGUUGCGGACAGUGUCUGGUGGGUAGUUUGACUGGGGCGGUCUCCUCCUAAAGAGUAACGGAGGAGCACGAAGGUUGGCUAAUCCUGGUCGGACAUCAGGAGGUUAGUGCAAUGGCAUAAGCCAGCUUGACUGCGAGCGUGACGGCGCGAGCAGGUGCGAAAGCAGGUCAUAGUGAUCCGGUGGUUCUGAAUGGAAGGGCCAUCGCUCAACGGAUAAAAGGUACUCCGGGGAUAACAGGCUGAUACCGCCCAAGAGUUCAUAUCGACGGCGGUGUUUGGCACCUCGAUGUCGGCUCAUCACAUCCUGGGGCUGAAGUAGGUCCCAAGGGUAUGGCUGUUCGCCAUUUAAAGUGGUACGCGAGCUGGGUUUAGAACGUCGUGAGACAGUUCGGUCCCUAUCUGCCGUG
This 2289-nucleotide ribosomal RNA is filed under the name Escherichia coli. RNAcentral's name for it is "partial 23S ribosomal RNA". It matches the Rfam family "Bacterial large subunit ribosomal RNA", at positions 372 to 2649 of the family's 2925-position model. Lineage: Bacteria; Pseudomonadati; Pseudomonadota; Gammaproteobacteria; Enterobacterales; Enterobacteriaceae. The record is from RNAcentral.